Molecule: ribosomal RNA, 253 nt
Filed under: uncultured bacterium
Lineage: Bacteria
Description: partial 16S ribosomal RNA
Rfam family: Bacterial small subunit ribosomal RNA
Source: RNAcentral
UACAGAGGUCCCGAGCGUUGUUCGGAUUCACUGGGCGUAAAGGGCGCGUAGGUGGCUUGGUAAGUUUGGUGUGAAAGCUCAGGGCUUAACCCUGAAAUGGCAUUGAAUACUGUCGAGCUGGAGGUUUGGAGGGGGGACUGGAAUUCUUGGUGUAGCAGUGAAAUGCGUAGAUAUCAAGAGGAACACCAGUGGCGAAGGCGAGUCCCUGGACAACACCUGACACUGAGGCACGAAAGCUAGGGGAGCAAAAGGG